UACGUAGGGCGCAAGCGUUGUCCGGAAUUAUUGGGCGUGAAGAGCUCGUAGGCGGUUUGUCGCGUCUGCUGUGAAAACCUAAGGCUCAACCUUGGGCUUGCAGUGGGUACGGGCAGACUAGAGUGCGGUAGGGGUGACUGGAAUUCCUGGUGUAGCGGUGGAAUGCGCAGAUAUCAGGAGGAACACCGAUGGCGAGGGCAGGUCACUGGGCCGCAACUGACGCUGAGGAGCGAAAGCAUGGGGAGCGAACAGG
This 253-nucleotide ribosomal RNA is filed under the name uncultured bacterium. Its description in RNAcentral is "partial 16S ribosomal RNA". It matches the Rfam family "Bacterial small subunit ribosomal RNA", at positions 524 to 776 of the family's 1533-position model. The record is from RNAcentral.